CCGUAGCCGACUUCAGGUGUGGAGGGGCGGGGUCGGACAUCAUGCUCACCACGCCUUCUCCUAACGGAUCUCGCGACGUACAGGCAAACAGAUUGUGGAAGCAGAGGAGCUAAGCUAUGGAACACUUGGGCUCCCUAAAAGGGAUCACCAGCAGGGCAGAGUAUGAAGAAGUCUUUCAUAAUCCAUGCUUGGAUAUGAUGGAGCCAAGGUUGUUCUCCCAUUUCACAUAAACUAAGAGGAUGCGGGAAUCCAGACUCAUACAGAAAUGGAAAGAAUGGAGAUUGUCUUGCUCCUCUCCUCCAUCUCAAUCUUAUAUUCUUUCUCCUAUUUCCAUGAUACUAAUGUAAAACUGAUGUGUUUAGAAGAAGCAAGAAACUAAGGAUCCUUAUGCAAGAGAGCAAAUGUGACUUCAUAGAUAUUCAUGAGACUUGAUAGGACAAAACCUUUUAUAAGAGCAUGGUAAUGAAUGUUUAUAACUUUUUGAAAAGAAACAGGAG
This is a long non-coding RNA of Dromiciops gliroides (monito del monte), 497 nucleotides long. RefSeq lists it as uncharacterized. NCBI's taxonomy places the organism in Eukaryota, Metazoa, Chordata, Mammalia, Microbiotheria, Microbiotheriidae. The record is from RefSeq and is a predicted model, not a curated record. The transcript has 3 exons.